Amphiprion ocellaris (clown anemonefish) is the source of this 307-nucleotide long non-coding RNA. Lineage: Eukaryota; Metazoa; Chordata; Actinopteri; Pomacentridae. The record is from Ensembl.
CCUGGUGUCAUUCCAUCAGUGUUAAACUUCCUGGCUCAUCUUGGAAGAGUAUGUGCCAGAAAGACCACGACCAAGCAGCCUUGAGAUCUUAGGCAGCGUCUCCCUGAGACCAAAGAACUACAGACUCUUCACAACCUGCUCAAACUCUUGGUACAGGACCUCACCACACGGGUCAAGAAGGUUUCUGUCUCAUUUCUACCCUGAAGCUCACCUUCUCCUGCUUUAACUGCUGACAAAUGUUUCUGCUGCUCUAAAGUCUGCUCUCCAGAACUUCCUAAAAACUCUCAAAGUCUCUUCUGCUGCAGGU